RNAcentral lists this ribosomal RNA (468 nucleotides) under uncultured bacterium. RNAcentral describes it as "partial 16S ribosomal RNA". It matches the Rfam family "Bacterial small subunit ribosomal RNA", at positions 28 to 507 of the family's 1533-position model. The record is from RNAcentral.
GACGAACGCUGGCGGCGUGCUUAACACAUGCAAGUCGAACGGAAAGGCCCUGCUUUUGUUGGGUGCUCGAGUGGCGAACGGGUGAGUAACACGUGAGUAACCUGCCCUUGACUUUGGGAUAACUUCAGGAAACUGGGGCUAAUACCGGAUAGGAUCUCCUGCUGCAUGGUGGGGGUUGGAAAGUUUCGGCGGUUGGGGAUGGACUCGCGGCUUAUCAGCUUGUUGGUGGGGUAGUGGCUUACCAAGGCUUUGACGGGUAGCCUGCCUGAGAGGGUGAACGGCCACAAUGGGACUGAGAUACGGCCCAGAAUCCUACGGGAGGCAGCAGUGGGGAAUAUUGCACAAUGGGCGGAAGCCUGAUGCAGCAACGCCGCGUGCGGGAUGACGGCCUUCGGGUUGUAAACCGCUUUCGAAUGUGACGAAGCGUGAGUGACGGUAAUGGGUAAAGAAGCACCGGCUAACUACGUG